RNAcentral lists this ribosomal RNA (646 nucleotides) under Candidatus Allofontibacter lacus. RNAcentral's name for it is "bacterial SSU rRNA". It matches the Rfam family "Bacterial small subunit ribosomal RNA", at positions 889 to 1533 of the family's 1533-position model. The record is from RNAcentral. Lineage: Bacteria; Pseudomonadati; Pseudomonadota; Alphaproteobacteria; Candidatus Pelagibacterales; Candidatus Pelagibacteraceae.
CAAGGGUGAAACUCAAAAGAAUUGACGGGGGCCCGCACAAGCAGUGGAGCAUGUGGUUUAAUUCGAUGCAACGCGAAGAACCUUACCCAGACUUGACAUAUAAUAGACGUUAGCAGAAAUGAUAACUCCCGCAAGGGCUGUUAUACAGGUGCUGCAUGGCUGUCGUCAGCUCGUGCCGUGAGGUGUUGGGUUAAGUCCCGCAACGAGCGCAACCCUUGUCAUUAGUUGCCAGCACGUAAUGGUGGGAACUCUAAUGAGACUGCCUAGGUUAACUAGGAGGAAGGUGAGGAUGACGUCAAGUCCGCAUGGCCCUUAUGUCUGGGGCUACACACGUGCUACAAUGGUCGGUACAAUAGGCAGCUAAGCCGAAAGGUGGAGCAAAUCCAAAAAGCCGACCCCAGUUCAGAUUGUAGUCUGCAACUCGACUACAUGAAGCCGGAAUUGCUAGUAAUGGCGUGUCAGCAACAACGCCGUGAAUACGUUCUCGGGCCUUGUACACACCGCCCGUCACAUCAUGGGAGUUGGUUUUACCCGAAGUCACUGACUCAACCGCAAGGAGAGAGGUGCCUAAGGUAAGGCUGAUGACUGGGAUGAAGUCGUAACAAGGUAGCCCUAUCGGAAGGUGGGGCUGGAUCACCUCCUUUAA